GUAGUGAGAACCCGUCUCUUAACUUUUAACUAAAAAAGUUAAGAACCGGUUCUUAAAACUCUUAUUUAAGAACCGGUUCUUAGUUUUUUUAGUUAAAAGUUAAGAGACGGGUUCUUAUAUUCC
RNAcentral lists this microRNA precursor (123 nucleotides) under Brassica napus (rape). RNAcentral's name for it is "MIR9563 microRNA precursor family". It matches the Rfam family "MIR9563 microRNA precursor family". Lineage: Eukaryota; Viridiplantae; Streptophyta; Magnoliopsida; Brassicales; Brassicaceae. The record is from Rfam by way of RNAcentral.